GCACGACCGCGAUGUCUCCGCUUCGUCAAUAUGACGAGCUUCGUUGUGUGAUAAUUUAUAGAGUUCAAGAAAAAUCGGCGUUACUGACUGUAAACUAUGAAUAUUUUGUAUUUUGCUUAGUGCAGUUAGUGUGCUUUUGUGCUUAAAAACUUGUGUAAUAACUGUUUUCGCUGGACGGCGAUGAGGAACUGGUUCAUACAGUACAAGCUUGUUUUUAUGUGUGCCAUACUGGUACUGAUGAGCCCGCCGGCUACUUCUUACUUGGAGUUGUGCAGAAGCAACCUGUUUCGAAUUCGGAAUUGUCAAAUUCAAAUUUGGCGGGCGAACGCCGGGAUGGCGUACAAUCGGCCCGCUCGUGUGGCGGUCGACAAAGAACUCGACGAGGCAUCUUGAGGGCGAAAAGACGUUACGUUGGACCCUUCGAUCCCCUUGGCUUGUUUAGUUUGAAUGGUGAUAAUGGUGUAGUGCUUUUUAGUGGCCUGUUUAAUAAAAUAUUUUUUUACCUGAAUAGUGUCACGACUGUUUCUUGUUUUACAAAGGAGUGCUUUGACAGAAGUUUUCAUAAGUUAAUACUGUGAACUUUAAUAAAUAAAUUCACAUGUAAGAGAUUAAAAAUUUAUAUAAUUUCGAACUAUGUAAGUUAUAGUUUAGUUGAUUAAUUGUUUAUUUAUACUAAAAUUAAUACAUAAAUAAGUACUUUAAUAAUUGUAGUAGGUAAUAGAAAAUUUAUAUGUUAUUUUUUGUUUAUUAAAAAGAUGUAUGUAUUUCUAAAUUGAUUUUUAAUUUAACAAAUAUAAGAAUUCAAACAACAAAAAUUUGCAUUAUGUUCGUAUAUUUAGUAUAUAACAUAUGAAUGUAAAUAUUCUUUAGUACUUGUAAUUUACUGGAAAACGGGCGACGGUCAUAUUCGUGUUCUAGUGAUAUCAACCAAGGUAAAGCCAAAUGUUCUACCAAUGGCAUUGUAAAUUAACUUUUAUAUUUUAUAGCGUAAAGUCUACUUAUUAAAGCCAGGUAGCUAUAAAAAGGUUUAUUUCGUAGGGUGAGCUUUCUUCGCGAUCACUAAUAUUGUUCGUAAACAUAAAGACGAUUAUUGGGACAGAGCUGUAUUUGAAAGAUAAUAUAAUAAAUAUCUUAUUUUGUUAACGGUUCACCUAUUUUGAUAACACAAUAUAAACACAAAUAAUGUUUUGUCAUUAACAGAUGACGUUUAAAAAAAAUACUAAAAUAAAUUUACUACGCUACCUUCAGAGGAAAUCGCAACAGUCCACGUAUUGGUAUUUUAGAUUUAAGAUAUUGAUAUGUAAAAGUUAUUAAUAUAGUUAAAUGACGAAAAAACUUAUUAGCAAAAUGAAAAAAGAAAUUAAAAUGUUACAUUCCUAAAUGAGUCACAUAUGUUUGACUGUAAACUGUAAUUAAAUACUUACAUCAAUUUAUGA
Long non-coding RNA from Galleria mellonella (greater wax moth), 1436 nucleotides. RefSeq lists it as uncharacterized. The record is from RefSeq and is a predicted model, not a curated record. The transcript is spliced from 2 exons. Lineage: Eukaryota; Metazoa; Arthropoda; Insecta; Lepidoptera; Pyralidae.